Long non-coding RNA from Betta splendens (Siamese fighting fish), 700 nucleotides. RefSeq lists it as uncharacterized. The record is from RefSeq and is a predicted model, not a curated record. The transcript has 3 exons. Lineage: Eukaryota; Metazoa; Chordata; Actinopteri; Anabantiformes; Osphronemidae.
UAUGAGUGGUACAGACUUACAUGAAACACUUAUGAAUAUGUGAUGCCAGCAGCUGAUGGAGACAACAGAGAAAUCAGAGUCUCACAAGGAGGCGUCUACAAGUGCAUAGGAAAAAGAGGAGAACCACCCGCUUACACUUAUGCCAGUGAUGAUGUCACCAUUGAGAUAACUUUUUCCAACAAGGCUGCUGUAAAAAGGCAGCAUGACUGGCCUGAGAUAUUCAAAGGAGAGGAGAUCACUCUGACAUGUGAGAUCCAGGCUGGAGGAGACACUGAGUGGGAAUAUGAAUGAACCCAAGGCAACUUAAGAAGAACUGCAGAUGGGAGUAAACUCUGGGUUUUCACUGCUUCUGGUUCCAGUAGUGGAGACUACAAGUGUAGGGGUCGACAGAAAACCAACAGUUAUUCCUUCACAGCAUGGAGUGAUCCUCUACGUUUGACAGUAACAGCAUCUAAACCAAAGGCUGAACUGAGAAGUGAUGAGACAGACAUCCCAGUAGGGGGCAGUGUGACGCUGAGCUGCUCUGUGACGUCAUCAUCUGGUUGGAAAUAUUAUUGGUACAGAGGAGAUAAAUCUUCUGAGGUCCUGAUCAAACAGGAUGGUGAAACCAGUGUCUCUCAGGAAGGACUGUACUGGUGCAGAGGAGGAAGAGGAAACCCAGUUUACUACACACAGUACAGUGACUCAGUGAGGAUCAACA